This 484-nucleotide ribosomal RNA is filed under the name uncultured bacterium. RNAcentral's name for it is "partial 16S ribosomal RNA". It matches the Rfam family "Bacterial small subunit ribosomal RNA", at positions 29 to 507 of the family's 1533-position model. The record is from RNAcentral.
AUUGAACGCUGGCGGCAUGCUUUACACAUGCAAGUCGAACGGCAGCGCGGGCUUCGGCCUGGCGGCGAGUGGCAAACGGGUGAGUAAUGCAUCGGAACGUGCCCAGUAGUGGGGGAUAGCCCGGCGAAAGCCGGAUUAAUACCGCAUACGACCUGAGGGUGAAAGCGGGGGACCGAAAGGCCUCGCGCUAUUGGAGCGGCCGAUGUCGGAUUAGCUAGUUGGUGGGGUAAAGGCUUACCAAGGCGACGAUCCGUAGCUGGUCUGAGAGGACGACCAGCCACACUGGGACUGAGACACGGCCCAGACUCCUACGGGAGGCAGCAGUGGGGAAUUUUGGACAAUGGGGGCAACCCUGAUCCAGCCAUGCCGCGUGCGAGAAGAAGGCCUUCGGGUUGUAAACCGCUUUUGUUCGGGAAGAAAUCCUCUGGGCUAAUACCCCGGGGGGAUGACGGUACCGGAAGAAUAAGCACCGGCUAACUACGUG